UUAAGCGACUAAGCGUACACGGUGGAUGCCCUGGCAGUCAGAGGCGAUGAAGGACGUGCUAAUCUGCGAUAAGCGUCGGUAAGGUGAUAUGAACCGUUAUAACCGGCGAUUUCCGAAUGGGGAAACCCAGUGUGAUUCGUCACACUAUCAUUAACUGAAUCCAUAGGUUAAUGAGGCGAACCGGGGGAACUGAAACAUCUAAGUACCCCGAGGAAAAGAAAUCAACCGAGAUUCCCCCAGUAGCGGCGAGCGAACGGGGAGCAGCCCAGAGCCUGGAUCAGUGUGUGUGUUAGUGGAAGCGUCUGGAAAGGCGCGCGAUACAGGGUGACAGCCCCAUACACAAAAAUGCACAUACUGUGAGCUCGAUGAGUAGGGCGGGACACGUGGUAUCCUGUCUGAAUAUGGGGGACCAUCCUCCAAGGCUAAAUACUCCUGACUGACCGAUAGUGAACCAGUACCGUGAGGGAAAGGCGAAAAGAACCCCGGCGAGGGGAGUGAAAAAGAACCUGAAACCGUGUACGUACAAGCAGUGGGAGCACGCUUAGGCGUGUGACUGCGUACCUUUUGUAUAAUGGGUCAGCGACUUAUAUUCUGUAGCAAGGUUAACCGAAUAGGGGAGCCGAAGGGAAACCGAGUCUUAACUGGGCGUUAAGUUGCAGGGUAUAGACCCGAAACCCGGUGAUCUAGCCAUGGGCAGGUUGAAGGUUGGGUAACACUAACUGGAGGACCGAACCGACUAAUGUUGAAAAAUUAGCGGAUGACUUGUGGCUGGGGGUGAAAGGCCAAUCAAACCGGGAGAUAGCUGGUUCUCCCCGAAAGCUAUUUAGGUAGCGCCUCGUGAAUUCAUCUCCGGGGGUAGAGCACUGUUUCGGCAAGGGGGUCAUCCCGACUUACCAACCCGAUGCAAACUGCGAAUACCGGAGAAUGUUAUCACGGGAGACACACGGCGGGUGCUAACGUCCGUCGUGAAGAGGGAAACAACCCAGACCGCCAGCUAAGGUCCCAAAGUCAUGGUUAAGUGGGAAACGAUGUGGGAAGGCCCAGACAGCCAGGAUGUUGGCUUAGAAGCAGCCAUCAUUUAAAGAAAGCGUAAUAGCUCACUGGUCGAGUCGGCCUGCGCGGAAGAUGUAACGGGGCUAAACCAUGCACCGAAGCUGCGGCAGCGACGCUUAUGCGUUGUUGGGUAGGGGAGCGUUCUGUAAGCCUGUGAAGGUGUACUGUGAGGUAUGCUGGAGGUAUCAGAAGUGCGAAUGCUGACAUAAGUAACGAUAAAGCGGGUGAAAAGCCCGCUCGCCGGAAGACCAAGGGUUCCUGUCCAACGUUAAUCGGGGCAGGGUGAGUCGACCCCUAAGGCGAGGCCGAAAGGCGUAGUCGAUGGGAAACAGGUUAAUAUUCCUAUACUUGGUGUUACUGCGAAGGGGGACGGAGAAGGCUAUGUUGGCCGGGCGACGGUUGUCCCGGUUUAAGCGUGUAGGCUGGUUUUCCAGGCAAAUCCGGAAAAUCAAGGCUGAGGCGUGAUGACGAGGCACUACGGUGCUGAAGCAACAAAUGCCCUGCUUCCAGGAAAAGCCUCUAAGCAUCAGGUAACAUCAAAUCGUACCCCAAACCGACACAGGUGGUCAGGUAGAGAAUACCAAGGCGCUUGAGAGAACUCGGGUGAAGGAACUAGGCAAAAUGGUGCCGUAACUUCGGGAGAAGGCACGCUGAUAUGUAGGUGAAGUCCCUCGCGGAUGGAGCUGAAAUCAGUCGAAGAUACCAGCUGGCUGCAACUGUUUAUUAAAAACACAGCACUGUGCAAACACGAAAGUGGACGUAUACGGUGUGACGCCUGCCCGGUGCCGGAAGGUUAAUUGAUGGGGUUAGCGCAAGCGAAGCUCUUGAUCGAAGCCCCGGUAAACGGCGGCCGUAACUAUAACGGUCCUAAGGUAGCGAAAUUCCUUGUCGGGUAAGUUCCGACCUGCACGAAUGGCGUAAUGAUGGCCAGGCUGUCUCCACCCGAGACUCAGUGAAAUUGAACUCGCUGUGAAGAUGCAGUGUACCCGCGGCAAGACGGAAAGACCCCGUGAACCUUUACUAUAGCUUGACACUGAACAUUGAGCCUUGAUGUGUAGGAUAGGUGGGAGGCUUUGAAGUGUGGACGCCAGUCUGCAUGGAGCCGACCUUGAAAUACCACCCUUUAAUGUUUGAUGUUCUAACGUUGACCCGUAAUCCGGGUUGCGGACAGUGUCUGGUGGGUAGUUUGACUGGGGCGGUCUCCUCCUAAAGAGUAACGGAGGAGCACGAAGGUUGGCUAAUCCUGGUCGGACAUCAGGAGGUUAGUGCAAUGGCAUAAGCCAGCUUGACUGCGAGCGUGACGGCGCGAGCAGGUGCGAAAGCAGGUCAUAGUGAUCCGGUGGUUCUGAAUGGAAGGGCCAUCGCUCAACGGAUAAAAGGUACUCCGGGGAUAACAGGCUGAUACCGCCCAAGAGUUCAUAUCGACGGCGGUGUUUGGCACCUCGAUGUCGGCUCAUCACAUCCUGGGGCUGAAGUAGGUCCCAAGGGUAUGGCUGUUCGCCAUUUAAAGUGGUACGCGAGCUGGGUUUAGAACGUCGUGAGACAGUUCGGUCCCUAUCUGCCGUGGGCGCUGGAGAACUGAGGGGGGCUGCUCCUAGUACGAGAGGACCGGAGUGGACGCAUCACUGGUGUUCGGGUUGUCAUGCCAAUGGCACUGCCCGGUAGCUAAAUGCGGAAGAGAUAAGUGCUGAAAGCAUCUAAGCACGAAACUUGCCCCGAGAUGAGUUCUCCCUGACUCCUUGAGAGUCCUGAAGGAACGUUGAAGACGACGACGUUGAUAGGCCGGAUGUGUAAGCGCAGCGAUGCGUUGAGCUAACCGGUACUAAUGAACCGUGAGGCUUAACCUU
This is a ribosomal RNA of 2900 nucleotides. It matches the Rfam family "Bacterial large subunit ribosomal RNA".